This 300-nucleotide unclassified non-coding RNA is filed under the name uncultured Mortierella. Its description in RNAcentral is "partial contains internal transcribed spacer 2 and large subunit ribosomal RNA". The record is from RNAcentral. Lineage: Eukaryota; Fungi; Mortierellomycota; Mortierellomycetes; Mortierellales; Mortierellaceae.
AACGCAUCUUGCACCUUCCAGGUCUCCUGGAAAGUAUGCUUGUUUGAGUAACAGCAACAUUAUCUCUAAGAGUUUCUCUUAGGAAUUGGAACGUCAAGCAGCUAGCUGUUUGUGUUCUUUAAUUGAUAUGCAGAGUGUUUUGCCAAUCAAAUGUGAGAUAAACAUCGCACAGAGUAGUUGACGGCGCCUCUGCUACGCCCGGAAGUGUGCACCUGACAGACAGACUAACCUCUGUCUUAAUUUGCGCUUCAUCUUAUUAUCGGUGAUCUCAAAUCAAGCAAGACUACCCGCUGAACUUAA